This is a non-coding RNA of Elaeis guineensis (African oil palm), 2346 nucleotides long. NCBI's taxonomy places the organism in Eukaryota, Viridiplantae, Streptophyta, Magnoliopsida, Arecales, Arecaceae. The record is from RefSeq and is a predicted model, not a curated record.
UACCAUUUCUAGAGUUUUCUUUAUUGUCGUUUUCUAGGUUAGAGAAUAUUUUGAGGUGUCAUGUGGUUGCUGUGACAAAUAUUCUCCCCCACCAAAAUUUGUUCUUUUUGAUAUGAAAACAAUAUUUUUGCAUAAAAUUCGGUUUUUUCUUUUGCGUCUUUUUUGGUUUACUGCUACAUUUGGAUGAAGGCUGAAGAGAAACGAAGGAAUAGGAAUUUGUUGUGCGAACGUGUAUCUAAUUCAUGACUGCUACGCACUUAUGAGGAAACAGUAUCUUUUGAUUAGUAAAAUUAUAUGCAAAAUCAAGCUUUGGUUUUUCCUCCAAAGAAAAGUGUUCUUUCUGAACAGUUAGGAAUCUUGAGAUAUCUUCAACUGUUAUUAUAGUAAGAAGGGCAAGCUCGUGAUAGAAAAGUUGAUGCUUGACAUUAGCCAGAAAGUAACUCAUUUGUUGGAUACACAAAAUAGGAGCUUCUCUUGUGUGUACGAGAUUGGUUGGAGAUACAAGUUCCAAAAAAAAAAAAAGGUCACAGAGGGCAUUAUCAUAUUCUUAUGGUCUGUUUGUGGGGAAGAGGAUGUUGAAUUGGCUAUCGUGUAUCUAUAACUAAAGGAUUUUUGGUGGAUGCUUUUAUCCAUGUUCCUUUUAUGGUGCAUAACUUGAGUUUCAAAAUGCCUUAAAAGGUCAUAUUGAAGAAGGGGAUCGAGAUUUUGGGAAGAGAACAUUCAUGCUAAUACUAUAGGAUUUUGGUUAAAUUGGUGGUGAAGAGUCUAUGUAGAUCAAAUUGUUUUGUUCUGGGUUUUUCAGUGUUUAUAGAAGAAUAUUUGAGUCUAUCAUAUGGACAAGAUGUUGCUUGGAGAGAUUCAUUGUGAAAUCCUGUUUUUCAUUGUGCACGCAAACACUUAUCAUGCUGCACUUUUUACCAAUUUAUAAUUAUUUUUCUUGAGGGGGCUGCUUGUGACUUUAAAAGAUAUGUACCAUAUGUUAAGGUAGCUAUAUUAUGUCAUAUGUUAGUUGGUGGGUGAAUGUGGGAACUUCCUUCUAAUUUCUACAUCUUUCCAUUCCAAGUUUCCAACAGUCUUGGGUCUCAUAAUUACACGCUAGGACAGCAUCUUGAUUUUUUCUUAAAAACAUUAACUAUUAAAGGAAGUUGGUUCCACUACUUGCAAUCCUCUCUUAGUUGAGAUCCCCUGCAUGGUCCUUGUAAUUCCAUUGCUACCUCUCUUUGUGCUUGGCUAGGGAGACAUAUGCAGUUAGAGAGUGCAUUCUAAUGCUAUUUGAACAUUUGACAUGGGUGUUAAGUAUCCAAUUUUCUAGAAGAACCCGACACCAGGAUCUUCUAUAAUUUGUCCAUGAGGAUACAAAUAUAUCAUAUAUCUGCAUCUUAAAAAAUAUGUAUUUAUGUAUGGUGAAUAAUGAGCUAGGUCUAUGUUCCUUAUGUUCAUCAAGCUUGGUAGAGUGGUUGCUAAUUGUUAUGUUAGACCUGAUAUCUUUCAUAUAGAAGUGCCAAAAUAAGAUAUAUAUCAUGAUGCCAUCAUGAUUUGAUGGCAUGAAGUGUCAAAGAGUGUCAUGAAGUCCCAAGUUUCCAAGCAUCCAACAUGUCAGAAAACUCUAAAAUUUGGGAGUGUCCAACAUAACAUUAUUGGAUUCCUAUAUCUCCUUAUCUGAUUGGAGAGUUAAAGCAAGACAAUGAUUUGGACAAGGAUUCUUCUUUUAAAAGAAAAAAGAAUUUGAGACCAUGACCCUAAACCUGGCCAUAAAACCUUCUCCAUUUAUAUAUAGUGAAGCAUUCAAAUUGCGUUAGUAUAUUGUUUAUUGAUGUCAUUAACUCUUUUUCCUGGUGGAUUUACUUGUUUCCUUUCAUUUGUUGUUUGUAAACGAUUUGAUAUGAUUAUACAUUCAAUGCUGUCAAAGUUUGAGCUAACUGAUUUGGACUCACUCUGAUGAAGUGGUAAUUAGGAUUUUUUGGACCUGUUAAAGUAUGCAUUUACAUUUAUAAGUUUAUGGUCUGAAUUUUUUCCCAUGGAAAGGCAGCGCAAUCAUUUAAUGAACUGAAGGAGUGAAUGGACAAGAAUAUAAGCAUGCAUCUAUGAUGAAACUAAGGACUUAGCCAGAUAAUCAUUCUUUGACUAUUUUGAAUGUGCCAUAGUACUAUGUGAACUGGAGGGUGAGAGCAAUUUCCUUUUUGGCAUGAUGUGGUACGGUAGAAUACCAUAUAUAUUCCUCUUGGUUAUGAAGAGAAUGGACAGACCAAUGGAGAAGUAACUCCAAUGCCAUGAGGAUGUGUAAUGAAGACUUGAUGAGGCACCUUUAAGGGCAGCUGCUUGGGUUUAUGUUUAUCAUUUUAGGAA